Molecule: ribosomal RNA, 1385 nt
Filed under: metagenome
Description: bacterial SSU rRNA
Rfam family: Archaeal small subunit ribosomal RNA
Source: RNAcentral
AAGUCAUGCAAGUCUAUGUAGAAAUACAUGGCAUAAGGCUCAGUAACACGUCAACAAUCUAACCUAUAGUGGAGAAUAACCUCGGGAAACUGAGGAUAAUACUCCAUAGGAGAAGAAAACUCGGAGAAGCUCUUCUCUUAAAGCUUCGGCGCUGUAGGAUGAGUUGGCGGCAGAUUAGGCAGUUGGUGGUGUAACGGACCACCAAACCUGAGAUCUGUAAGGGGAAUGAGAGUUUGAGCCCUGAGAAGGACACUGAGAAAAGGGUCCUAGCCCUACGGGGUGCAGCAGACGCGAAACCUCCACAAUGCACGAAAGUGUGAUGGGGGAAUCCCACGUGCUUGUCUUAUGGCAAGCUUUUGUUGAGUAUAGAUAGCUCAGAGAAUAGGGGGUGGGCAAGACCGGUGCCAGCCGCCGCGGUAAUCCCGGCGCCCCAAGUGGUGACCACGUUUAUUGGGCCUAUAGCAUCCGUAGCCGGUUAGGUAAGUCUUUGGUGAAAUCUAGCAGCUUAACUGUUAGGCGUGCCGAAGAUACUGCUUAGCUUGAGACAGGGAGGAGUUAGGAGUAUGCCUUGGGGAGCGGUAAAAUGUCAUAAUCCAAGGUGGACUAUCGGUGGCGAAGGCGCCUAACUAGAACUGGUCUGACGGUGAGGGAUGAAAGCUAGGGGAGCGAUUGGGAUUAGAUACCCCAGUAGUCCUAGCUGUAAACGCUGCCUGCUUGAUGUUGCAUUUCUUUCGUGGAUGUGCAGUGUCGUAAUGAAGAUGUUUAGCAGGCCGCCUGGGGAGUACGGUCGCAAGGCUGAAACUUAAAGGAAUAGGCGGGGGAGCACACAAGGGGUGCAUGCUGCGGUUUAAUUGGAUUAUACGCCCGGAACCUCACUAGCGGCGACAGCAGAAUGAAGGUCUGUCUGAAUGGCACACUCGACACGCUGAGAGGUGGUGCAUGGCCGCCGUCAGCUCGUGCUGUGAAGUGUUCUGUUAAGUCAGAGAACGAGCGAGACCUGUGUCUUCAAUUGCUAGUUUGAUCUUCGGAUCGAGCGCACACUGAAGAGACUGCAUUCGUAAGAAUGAGGAAGGUGCAGGCAACGGUAGGUCUGUAUGCCCCAAAUCCGCUAGGCUACACGUGGCAUUCAAUGGUCAAGACAACGAGCUGCAACUCCGAAAGGAGAAGCGAAUCUCUUAAACUUGAUCGCGUACGAAUCGAGGGCUGCAACUCGCCCUCGUGAAGCUGAAAUCCCUAGUAAAUGCGUGUUAGCAUCGCGCGUUGAAUACACGUCCCUGCUCCUUGCACUCACUGCCUGUCAAACCAUCCGAGUUGGGUUUGGAUGAGGUCCCUGUUGAAGGGCUCGAAUCUAAGCUCGGCGAGGCGGGUUAAGUCAACACAAGGUA